Molecule: ribosomal RNA, 980 nt
Filed under: Salmonella enterica subsp. enterica
Lineage: Bacteria; Pseudomonadati; Pseudomonadota; Gammaproteobacteria; Enterobacterales; Enterobacteriaceae
Description: partial 23S ribosomal RNA
Rfam family: Bacterial large subunit ribosomal RNA
Source: RNAcentral
AACCGAGUCUUAAUUGGGCGUUAAGUUGCAGGGUAUAGACCCGAAACCCGGUGAUCUAGCCAUGGGCAGGUUGAAGGUUGGGUAACACUAACUGGAGGACCGAACCGACUAAUGUUGAAAAAUUAGCGGAUGACCUGUGGCUGGGGGUGAAAGGCCAAUCAAACCGGGAGAUAGCUGGUUCUCCCCGAAAGCUAUUUAGGUAGCGCCUCGUGAACUCAUCUCCGGGGGUAGAGCACUGUUUCGGCUAGGGGGCCAUCCCGGCUUACCAACCCGAUGCAAACUGCGAAUACCGGAGAAUGUUAUCACGGGAGACACACGGCGGGUGCUAACGUCCGUCGUGAAGAGGGAAACAACCCAGACCGCCAGCUAAGGUCCCAAAGUCAUGGUUAAGUGGGAAACGAUGUGGGAAGGCCCAGACAGCCAGGAUGUUGGCUUAGAAGCAGCCAUCAUUUAAAGAAAGCGUAAUAGCUCACUGGUCGAGUCGGCCUGCGCGGAAGAUGUAACGGGGCUAAACCAUGCACCGAAGCUGCGGCAGCGAACGUAUCACCCAAGACAACUUUGCGGAGUUGACGAUUGACGGAGCGAAGCGACGUCAAAGCGUUCAUUAAAGUCGAGUUGGCUUAGGGAUACGUUCGUUGGGUAGGGGAGCGUUCUGUAAGCCAGUGAAGGUGUGUCGUGAGGCAUGCUGGAGGUAUCAGAAGUGCGAAUGCUGACAUAAGUAACGAUAAAGCGGGUGAAAAGCCCGCUCGCCGGAAGACCAAGGGUUCCUGUCCAACGUUAAUCGGGGCAGGGUGAGUCGACCCCUAAGGCGAGGCCGAAAGGCGUAGUCGAUGGGAAACGGGUUAAUAUUCCCGUACUUGGUGUUACUGCGAAGGGGGGACGGAGAAGGCUAUGUUGGCCGGGCGACGGUUGUCCCGGUUUAAGCGUGUAGGUGUGUGUUCCAGGUAAAUCCGGUUCACUUUAACACUGAGGCGUGAUGA